Molecule: unclassified non-coding RNA, 763 nt
Filed under: Hevea brasiliensis (rubber tree)
Lineage: Eukaryota; Viridiplantae; Streptophyta; Magnoliopsida; Malpighiales; Euphorbiaceae
Source: RNAcentral
CGGCGAUCUGAGAACACACGCGCACGCAGCGAAAAAACUAAAAAUGGCGGCGAAAUCGAUGUUCGCGGCGGUGUUUCUGCUACUUGCGGUGGUUGCUCCUCCGCGAAGGGCGGCGGCCGCCACUCACAAAGUCGGCGAUUCGCUUGGCUGGACCAUCCCUUCCAGUCCUUCUACUUAUUCCGAUUGGGCCUCCACCCAAACUUUUCUCGUCGGCGACAUUCUCCUUUUCAAUUUCACCACCGGACAGCACGACGUGACGGAAGUGACGAAGGCCGCAUUAGAUUCCUGCAGCAGCAGCAACCCCGUCUCCGCCGUGAGAAGCGGCCCGGCGAGUAUUACACUCUCGGCGCCCGGCACCCGCCACUUCAUCUGCUCAUUUUCCGGCCACUGCAGCUUCGGCCAGAAGCUCACCGUCACCGUACGAUCUCAGUCUUCUUCGCCGCCGACUGCCGCCCCUUCACCCUCCCCCAAAUCCAGCACUCCCGUUUCGCCGACGCCGUCGCCACACACCGGCCGGCCGCCGAAGGCCUCUCCUCCGCCGGAAACCGCCAGUCCUCCACCGUCGAACAUCGCUCCUUCUACUCCGUCGCCGACGACCGCCCCGCCGCCGCCCAACUCCGCCAACUCCCUCGGCGGUUUCGGCCUCUUCUUCUCUGCCGGUUUAGCGACUAUCGUUGCUCUGAUUUGAGAUCGCCAUGGUUGUUGUAGAAAGUUAGUUGGAUUCGUUUUGUGUGUACUUUAUUUAAUUUCACAUUACUUUGGG